UACGUGGGGUGCGAGCGUUGUCCGGAAUUAUUGGGCGUAAAGGGCUCGUAGGCGGUCUGUCGCGUCGGGAGUGAAAACUCAGGGCUUAACCCUGAGCCUGCUUCCGAUACGGGCAGACUAGAGGUAUGCAGGGGAGAACGGAAUUCCUGGUGUAGCGGUGAAAUGCGCAGAUAUCAGGAGGAACACCGGUGGCGAAGGCGGUUCUCUGGGCAUUACCUGACGCUGAGGAGCGAAAGUGUGGGGAGCGAACAGG
Molecule: ribosomal RNA, 253 nt
Filed under: uncultured bacterium
Lineage: Bacteria
Description: partial 16S ribosomal RNA
Rfam family: Bacterial small subunit ribosomal RNA
Source: RNAcentral